GGUAGCAAUACUGGGCGGCGACCGGCAAACGGGUGCGGAACACGUACGCAACCUUCCUUCAAGUGGGGGAUAGCCCAGGGAAACUUGGAUUAAUACCCCGUAAUAUUAUGAGGUGGCAUCAUCUUAUAAUUAUAGCUACGGCGCUUGGAGAUGGGCGUGCGGCUGAUUAGGUAGUUGGCGGGGUAACAGCCCACCAAGCCUGCGAUCAGUAACUGGUGUGAGAGCACGACCAGUCACACGGGCACUGAGACACGGGCCCGACUCCUACGGGAGGCAGCAGUAAGGAAUAUUGGUCAAUGGACGCAAGUCUGAACCAGCCAUGCCGCGUGGAGGAUGAAGGCCCUCUGGGUUGUAAACUUCUUUUAUUUGGGAAGAAACCCAUCUUUUCUAAGGUGGUUGACGGUACCAGAUGAAUAAGCACCGGCUAACUCCGUGCCAGCAGCCGCGGUAAUACGGAGGGUGCAAGCGUUAUCCGGAUUCACUGGGUUUAAAGGGUGCGUAGGUGGGCAGGUAAGUCAGUGGUGAAAUCUCCGGGCUUAACCCGGAAACUGCCGUUGAUACUAUCUGUCUUGAAUGUCGUGGAGGUGAGCGGAAUAUGUCAUGUAGCGGUGAAAUGCUUAGAUAUGACAUAGAACAUCAAUUGCGAAGGCAGCUCGCUACACGGUUAUUGACACUGAGGCACGAAAGCGUGGGGAUCAAACAGGAUUAGAUACCCUGGUAGUCCACGCCCUAAACGAUGAUUACUCGACAUAUGCGAUACACUGUAUGUGUCUGAGCGAAAGCAUUAAGUAAUCCACCUGGGAAGUACGA
Molecule: ribosomal RNA, 810 nt
Filed under: uncultured Flavobacteriia bacterium
Lineage: Bacteria; Pseudomonadati; Bacteroidota; Flavobacteriia
Description: bacterial SSU rRNA
Rfam family: Bacterial small subunit ribosomal RNA
Source: RNAcentral